This 253-nucleotide ribosomal RNA is filed under the name uncultured bacterium. RNAcentral describes it as "partial 16S ribosomal RNA". It matches the Rfam family "Bacterial small subunit ribosomal RNA", at positions 524 to 776 of the family's 1533-position model. The record is from RNAcentral.
UACAGAGGUCUCAAGCGUUGUUCGGAUUCAUUGGGCGUAAAGGGUGCGUAGGCGGCGCGGUAAGUCGGGUGUGAAAUCUCGGAGCUUAACUCCGAAACUGCAUUCGAUACUGCCGUGCUUGAGGACUGGAGAGGAGACUGGAAUUUACGGUGUAGCGGUGAAAUGCGUAGAUAUCGUAAGGAAGACCAGUGGCGAAGGCGGGUCUCUGGACAGUUCCUGACGCUGAGGCACGAAGGCCAGGGGAACAAACGGG